CGUGAGAUGUUUCGGUUAAGUCCGGCAACGAGCGCAACCCACAUCCCUAGUUGCCAGCAGUUCGGCUGGGCACUCUAUGGAAACUGCCCGUGAUAAGCGGGAGGAAGGUGUGGAUGACGUCAAGUCCUCAUGGCCCUUACGGGUUGGGCUACACACGUGCUACAAUGGUAAUGACAAUGGGUUAAUCCCAAAAAGCUAUCUCAGUUCGGAUUGUCGUCUGCAACUCGACGGCAUGAAGUCGGAAUCGCUAGUAAUCGCGUAACAGCAUGACGCGGUGAUACGUUCCCGGGCCUUGUACACACCGCCCGUCACACCAUGGGAGUUGGUUCUACCCGACGGCCGUGCGCUAACCUUUUGGAGGCAGCGGACCACGGUAGGAUCAGCGACUGGGGUGAAGUCGUAACCAAGGUAACCC
RNAcentral lists this ribosomal RNA (415 nucleotides) under uncultured bacterium. RNAcentral describes it as "bacterial SSU rRNA". It matches the Rfam family "Bacterial small subunit ribosomal RNA", at positions 1066 to 1502 of the family's 1533-position model. The record is from RNAcentral.